GGACCCGCAUAAGCGGUGGAGCAUGUGGUUUAAUUCGAUGCAACGCGAAAAACCUUACCUACUCUUGACAUACUUGGGAGCUCUUGUAAUGAGAGUGUGCCUUUUGGAACCAAGAUACAGGUGCUGCAUGGCUGUCGUCAGCUCGUGUCGUGAGAUGUUCCGUUAAGUCGGAUAACGAGCGCAACCCUUACCCUUAUUUGCCAGCGAUUCGGUCGGGAACUAUAAGGGGACUGCCGGUGAUAAACCGGAGGAAGGUGAGGACGACGUCAAGUCAUCAUGGCCCUUACGAGUAGGGCUACACACGUGCUACAAUGGGGAAUACAGACGGACGCUAAGCCAACUUGCGAGAGUGAG
RNAcentral lists this ribosomal RNA (354 nucleotides) under uncultured bacterium. RNAcentral describes it as "bacterial SSU rRNA". It matches the Rfam family "Bacterial small subunit ribosomal RNA", at positions 917 to 1267 of the family's 1533-position model. The record is from RNAcentral.